RNAcentral lists this ribosomal RNA (1215 nucleotides) under Candidatus Nomurabacteria bacterium GW2011_GWF1_34_20. Its description in RNAcentral is "partial 23S ribosomal RNA". It matches the Rfam family "Bacterial large subunit ribosomal RNA", at positions 1297 to 2912 of the family's 2925-position model. Lineage: Bacteria; Candidatus Nomuraibacteriota. The record is from RNAcentral.
UUGGCACAAGUAACCGCAAGGUAGGUGAGAUCCCUACCCGCCGAAAGAUCAAGGUUUCCUGGGCAAUGAUUAUCAUCCCAGGGUUAGUCGGUCCUAAGGAGAUGGUGAAAACCGCAUCCGAUGGGCACAUGGUUAAUAUUCCAUGACUUCUGUUGUAUCCGAUGAUAGGACGGAGUGUAGUAUAUAAAGCUCAUUAUUGGAUUUGAGUUUGUUCGUAAGGAUGUCUCCUAGGAAAAUCCGGGAGAUGACGUAAAAGUAACAUCCAAGCAAAGCAUAAAUGUCGGGGUUCGCCUCGAUAGAUUUUAUAAAGCACGCUUCCAAGAAAAGUAUCUAAGGUUAAUACAAUAGAAUCCGUACCGCAAACCGACACAGGUGAUCAGGUCGAGUAGACCAAGGCGAACGAGUGAGAGGUCUUCAAGGAACUCGGCAAAAAAGGCAACUGUUUAUCAAAAACACAGCUCCCUGCGAACUCGCAAGAGGAUGUAUAGGGGGUGACACCUGACCAAUGCCAGAAGGUCAAAUAUCGGUGGUGAUAUGUCUUCGGAUGUAUUGCUGGCUGAUAUAAGCCCUGGUGAAUGUCGGCCGUAACUAUGAACGGUCCUAAGGUAGCGAAGUACCUUGUCGGGUAAGUUCCGACGCGCACGAAUGGUGUAAUGACUGGAGAACUGUCUCGAAGACCUGCUCGGUGAAAAACAGUAUCUGGUGGGUAGUUUUACUGGGGCGGUAUCCUCGCUAAAGAGUAACGGAGGAGUUUAUUAAGGUUAGCUAGGCGCGAAUGGAAACCGUGCCGAUAGUGUAAUGGCACAAGCUAGCUUAACUGUAAGACGUACACCUCGAUGUCGGCUCACCUUAUCCUGGUGGUGGAGAAGCUGCCAAGGGUUUAGCUGUUCGCUAAUUAAAAAGGUACGCGAGCUGGGUUCAAACCGUUGAGACGCGUGAGACAGGUUGGUCUCCUAUCUACUGCAGGCGUUGAUUCUUGAGAAGAUUUGCUCCUAGUACGAGAGGACCGGAGUGAACUGACCUCUGGUGUGUGGGCUCUACUGCCAAGUGGACUGCCCAGUAGCUAUGUCGGGAAUGGAUAACCUCUGAAAGCAUCUAAGAGGGAAGCCAGCUUCAAGAUGAGGAAUCGUUUGAGAAACCUGAGAGAUGAUCAGGUUGAUAGGCACUAGGUGUACAGACAGUAAUGUCUUUAGCCGAGGUGUACUAAUCGUUCGA